GUAGGGAAUAUUGGGCAAUGGAUGCAAGUCUGACCCAGCCAUCCCGCGUGCCGGAAGAAGGCCCUCAGGGUUGUAAACGGCUUUUGACGGUGAAGAACCGACAGGAUGCGUCCUGUUUUGACGGUAGCCGUUGAAUAAGCACCGGCUAACUCCGUGCCAGCAGCCGCGGUAAUACGGAGGGUGCGAGCGUUGUCCGGAUUUAUUGGGUUUAAAGGGUGCGUAUGCUGGAAGGUCAGUCAGCGGUGAAAAGCUAUCGCUUAACGAUAGUCUUGCCGCAGAUACUUCCUUUCUUGGAUGAGGAGGAGGCCACUGGAACGGAUGGUGUAGCGGUGAAAUGCAUAGAUAUCAUCCAGAACACCGAUUGCGAAGGCAGGUGGCUGUACCUUAAUCGACGCUGAUGCACGAAAGCAUGGGGAGCAAACAGGAUUAGAAACCCCAGUAGUCC
Molecule: ribosomal RNA, 445 nt
Filed under: uncultured bacterium
Lineage: Bacteria
Description: partial 16S ribosomal RNA
Rfam family: Bacterial small subunit ribosomal RNA
Source: RNAcentral